Molecule: ribosomal RNA, 411 nt
Filed under: uncultured bacterium
Lineage: Bacteria
Description: bacterial SSU rRNA
Rfam family: Bacterial small subunit ribosomal RNA
Source: RNAcentral
AGCGGCGGACGGGUGAGUAAUGCGUGGGAAUAUGCCCUUUGGUAUGGAAUAGCCCCGGAAACGGGGAGUAAUACCGUAUGUGCCCUACGGGGAAAAGAUUUAUCGCCAAAGGAUUAGCCCAUGUUGGAUUAGCUGGUUGGUGAGGUAAAAGCUCACCAAGGCGACGAUCUAUAGCUGGUUUGAGAGGAUGAUCAGCCACACUGGGACUGAGACACGGCCCAGACUCCUACGGGAGGCAGCAGUGGGGAAUAUUAGACAAUGGGCGAAAGCCUGAUCUAGCCAUGCCGCGUGAGUGAAGAAGGCCCUAGGGUUGUAAAGCUCUUUCAGAUGUGAGGAUGAUGACAGUAACAUCAGAAGAAGCCCCGGCUUACUUCGUGCCAGCAGCCGCGGUAAUACGAAGGGGGCUAACGU